Sinocyclocheilus anshuiensis is the source of this 817-nucleotide long non-coding RNA. RefSeq lists it as uncharacterized. The record is from RefSeq and is a predicted model, not a curated record. The transcript is spliced from 3 exons. Lineage: Eukaryota; Metazoa; Chordata; Actinopteri; Cypriniformes; Cyprinidae.
AGCAAGUCGAAUAAAGACAGCAAGGCUUAUAAUUUUUUCUAUUUCAGUAUAUAUUUAAUAUUUUGAAUGUUUUAUAUUAAUAUUUAUAUAUUGUGAGGUGGAGAUGGAGCAACAGCAAACACAUGAAAGCCGGUCUGAUGGUUGCUCAUGAAAGCAGGAGGUUCGCUCUUCAAAGAGCGCGAGGAAGAUGAAGAGCCACAUGGAAGGAUGAAGGUCCGUCCUGAAAGACCUCCGCUUACGCUGUGAAUGACGGCCACAGAAGAGCCGAGGUGUAAAGUGACGGGUUGAAGAGAGAUGUCCAGAUGACGGCAGCUGCUCUUUGGGAAUCUCACCAGGCAGAUGGGCACCACAUGAAGGCCUGCUCACAACAAGAAGAUUUAGUAAGAAAACAGCUGAAGAUCGACACAAGCGUGUGAAGACCUUCUCAAGACCCUGCAGAGAAACAGGCCGCGUCUACGUCUCAAAUUCACUCCACUCUCUGGGUUUGAUUGGGACCUCUUCAGGCCGCCGUCGCUGGCGUUUGCAUCAGCAGCUUCUAUAUUAAGCAGCGUGUUGUGUAUUAGUUUGUAUGAUGGAGCGUGUUGGUGCCCACGCUUCGAUUGAGACACAGAUGGCGCAGUAUUUUAGUGGCUGCUGCGUUCGCUGUGUAGGUGUUGAGAUUGUACUACAUGUACAGAAUAACCCCUCCACAGUCUUGGGUUAUGUAAAGUUUAACUGCAUCUUUGUGUCCAAAAGUUUCAGCAACCAACGAGAGCAGAUCAUCAUGCAAACAAUCCUGAGAUGAGAGUAUUAAUGACGUUACUCUACAAAUACAUCA